This 467-nucleotide ribosomal RNA is filed under the name uncultured bacterium. Its description in RNAcentral is "partial 16S ribosomal RNA". It matches the Rfam family "Bacterial small subunit ribosomal RNA", at positions 28 to 507 of the family's 1533-position model. The record is from RNAcentral.
GAUGAACGCUGGCGGCGUGCUUAACACAUGCAAGUCGAACGGAAAGGCCCAAGCUUGCUUGGGUACUCGAGUGGCGAACGGGUGAGUAACACGUGGGUGAUCUGCCCUGCACUUCGGGAUAAGCCUGGGAAACUGGGUCUAAUACCGGAUAGGACCACUUCUUGGAUGUUGUGGUGGAAAGUUUUUUCGGUGUGGGAUGAGCUCGCGGCCUAUCAGCUUGUUGGUGGGGUAAUGGCCUACCAAGGCGUCGACGGGUAGCCGGCCUGAGAGGGUGUACGGCCACAUUGGGACUGAGAUACGGCCCAGACGCCUACGGGAGGCAGCAGUGGGGAAUAUUGCACAAUGGGCGCAAGCCUGAUGCAGCGACGCCGCGUGGGGGAUGACGGCCUUCGGGUUGUAAACGCCUUUCGCUAGGGACGAAGCGUUUUGUGACGGUACCUGGAGAAGAAGCACCGGCUAACUACGUG